Long non-coding RNA from Carassius carassius (crucian carp), 580 nucleotides. RefSeq lists it as uncharacterized. Lineage: Eukaryota; Metazoa; Chordata; Actinopteri; Cypriniformes; Cyprinidae. The record is from RefSeq and is a predicted model, not a curated record. The transcript is spliced from 2 exons.
GCUCCCCAGAGCCUGCUCCUGGUGCAGGAGAUCCAGAGCUGUUAGGCUCUCUGUUGCUGCUCUCUGCUGGUGAGGCUGGCCAUCAUCCCUCAACAUCUGCAACACCUCCACUGCCUCCUCCUGUGAGAUACCUGCCUCUAGCUGAAGAGGACGCAUGUCAAUCAAGUCUGACGCCACUUGGAAACCCGCGUUGAUGAGCUUCACCUUCACCGAAGGCGCCAAAGGGAGGCUGGGCACAGUCCUGUGCAUCUUACUGACACUGACACUGACACGGACGAGCACCAAGCUGAAAAUACGUUUUACACACGGUUGUCGGUUCUAUGCCAGUUUAGGACAAAUGACAACAAAUUCUAGCCAUUCGAAAAUAUCUUUCUUUGGGAGGAUACACUUAAAAUCACUCUUUGAAGAAUUUACUAUCGAAAGAAUAGUUUUAUGAAAUCAAAAUAUAAAGAUAUGAGGACUUCUGUUUCUCCAUGUAUUUUUUCCCCUUUGAUACUCCCUCCAAAACAAGAAACGAAGUGGAAUGUGGAAAAGUCUCUUCAAAAUAAAAGUCCCAAGACGACGUCAAUGACGCAUUUUA